GGUGGCUCAGUGGUAGAGCUCUUGCCUUGCAUGCAUGAGGUCCUGGGUUCGAUUCCUCAGCACCA
This is a non-coding RNA of Dipodomys ordii (Ord's kangaroo rat), 65 nucleotides long. Lineage: Eukaryota; Metazoa; Chordata; Mammalia; Rodentia; Heteromyidae. The record is from Rfam.